RNA transcript from Dendrobium catenatum, 4183 nucleotides. It is a transcript of the gene named pentatricopeptide repeat-containing protein At4g20740, with no coding region annotated. The transcript has 3 exons. Lineage: Eukaryota; Viridiplantae; Streptophyta; Magnoliopsida; Asparagales; Orchidaceae. The record is from RefSeq and is a predicted model, not a curated record.
GAAUAAUCUGAUGAUUGUUUUGAGAUUUUUUUAUCAUUAAUUUCUGACAAAACUAUGAGUGAGAUUACAGGAGUAGGGCGAAAACAUCGCAGGAAAUGCCGCCAGCGCCUCGCCCACCCGGCGCCGUUGCUGCUGUCCGGAAGCCUUACUUCUACUACGGCCACCGUCGUCCUUCCCAAAACCGCCCCGUAGUCUUUGGCGGUCUUUUCACAAACCGCAAAACCCUACCCUUCUCCGCAGCCGACCGCCGAUCUAAGCCACGCUCCCACCCCACUAUCGACUUCCGUAACUGGGACCCCGACCUCUCAUCUCCUUCUUCAUCCUCCUCCCUUCCAUCCCUCCCUGACUCCGAUCGACGCCUCUCCCCUCUUGCUCGCUUCAUUUGCGACUCUUUCCGUCGCCACCACCGGUGGUGCCCCGCGGUCCUGACUGAACUUAACAAACUCCGCCGCGUCACCCCCGAUCUUGUCGCCGAGGUACUGAAGUCGCGCCCUCUCCUUCCUCCUUCCCUCUCCACUCGAUUCUUUAACUGGGCCGGUCGCCAGAAGGGUUUCUCCCACACCUUUGCUUCUUAUAAUGCCCUCGCGUAUACCCUCUCGGCUGCUGGACUCUUUCGCGCCGCCGAUCAGGUCCCUGAGCUCAUGCUCGCGCAGGGAAAACCCCCAUCCGAGAAGCAGCUCGAGAUACUUGUCCGAUUCCACGCCGAUGCGCGCCGCCCGCUCCGGUUGUUUCAUAUGUACCGCAAGAUGAGAACCAGGUUUGGUGUUUCCCCUCGACGUACUUUUCUUUAUAAUCGCAUUAUCGAUGCACUGGUUAGCUGCGGCCGGUUGGAUUUGGCUCUUGAGGUCUACGAUGACCUCCGCUCUGAUGAUGGGCUCAAGGAGGACGCCGUUACUUUUACUAUAAUAUGUAAGGGUUUCUGCCGUGCUGGCCGGAUUGAUGAGCUUGUUGAUAUGAUUGGUCGGAUGCGCAGUGAGGUCUGCCGGCCGGAUGUGUUCGCGUACACAGCGAUGGUUAAAAUUUUGAUUUCCGAGGGCAAUGUGGAUGGUGGGCUUAGGGUUUGGGAUGAGAUGGUGAAAGAUGGGGUUGAGGCUGAUGUGAUGGCAUAUUCAACUUUGAUUGCUGGGCUUUGUAAGGCGGGGAGAAUGCAGAGGGGGAAGGAGUUGUUUAAGGAGAUGAAGAAGAAGGGGUUUUUGAUUGAACGCGCAGUGUAUGGUGCAUUGGUGGAGGGGUUUGUUGAUGGAGGGCAGGCGGAAUCUGGGGCUCAAAUUUUGAAAGAGAUGGUGGAUGAUGGGUAUCGUGCAGAUUUGGGGAUAUAUGAUUUGUUGAUUAAGGGUUACUGUGCUGAUGGGAAGGUUGAUAAGGCGUUAAAGAGUUUCCAAAUUGUAAUUAUGGAAGGGAUUGAGCCGGAGUUUUCAACGGUGUUGCCCUUAUUGAUUACUUAUGCAGAUGGACAUCAGAUGGAUAUGUUCUACCAGUUGGUUGAUCGUAUCAGUGAAUUGGGUUUGCCUAUUAUUGAUCAUUUGUCAAGCUUCUUCACUGCAUAUUUGGUGAAGGGAGGGAGGGAAAUGAAGGCUCUGAAGUUGUUUGAGGUGCUGAAAAGUAAAGGCUAUUGCAGUGUUGCAAUCUACAAUAUCCUUAUUGAUGCACUUCACAAGGUUAAGGAGGUGAAGAAGGCAUUGGUAUUGUUUGAAGAAUUAAAUGAUACAGAACACCUGAAACCAGAUUCAUGCACAUAUAGCCUUGUAAUUACUUGUAUUGCAGAGGAUGGAGAUGCUAGAGAGGCGUGCUCAUAUUUCAAUAGGAUGAAGGAAAAUUCUUGGACUCCUAGCGUUGCUGCAUAUAACUCCCUUGUGAGAGGACUUUGCAUGAUGGGGGAAAUCAAUGCAGCUAUGACCUUGGUUAAGGAUUGCUUGGGGAAUGUAACUAGUGGGCCUAUGGAGUUCAAGUACUCUUUAAGAGUUCUAGAUGCUUGUCGCUCAGGCAAACCAGAGAAAGUAAUUGAGGUUUUAAAUGAGAUGGUGGAAGAAGGUUACCCUCUGGAGGAUAUUAUAUACUGCACUGUCAUUCAUGGUUUCUGCAAAUAUGCUAGCUCAGGGGAAGCAAGAAAGGUGCUUGAGUUCAUGAAAAAAAGUAAGAGGCUUACUGAGGCUAAUUUCAUCAUUUAUGAGGAAAUGCUCAAUGAACAUUUGAAGAAGGAGACUGCUGGAUUAGUUAUCUCUGGGUUAAAGUUUUUUGGUUUGGAGAAAAAAUUGAAGUGGACUACUAGCUUGGAUGAUAUAUCCUAAGGCUUCUGUCAGGAAAUUCUUGACAUGCAGAUUCCCAUUGGAAUAUACAUUUCUGUAGUAAAUUUUCUUGGACAAAACUCUGAAGACAAGAAUUGGGUCUAUCUGUUCAGUAAGGCCCUCAACUUGGAUUACUCAGUCCGCAAUGCGGCUUUCGCCGAUGCAAAUCUUUUACCUUGAGCAACAAGCAAAAUUCUCCCAAAGUCCCAUCCGGCAUUCUAAUAGGAAACACUUGUAGAUCUCAAGUUCCUAUCAAUCUUCGGAAAACAUGGCACAGCAGAAGUUUCUUCUUUUAUCUCUUUGGAAGGCAAAACUCUUUGAGUUCUCUCAGCCAUGUUGAGGUGGUCAGAGAAGAGAAGAAUGCAAGUUGAAAAGUACACGGUUAACCUGAUGGUGAGAAAUUGACUAAACUAAUUGUUAUGCAUGAAAUCUAGUUGUGUUGAUCUAUCGGAUUGUUCUGUUGCCUCGGACUUCAAGUUUCUUGUGCUUGCUGGGGGUUAUCCCCUGCUCGAAAUUUUUUUUUUUCGUACAACUCUCUGGCAUUAUGUACCUGAGUGCCCUGACGUUAUUUUCCCGAGCGCCCCAGCGUCGAACGACAAAGAGCAUAGCGCCACAACACUUUAGAUUCGAAGCCGCAACGCUGCGAGUUUGAGUGUCGCAGUGUCAUCAAAUAGAGACUGCCCUAAACUGGCACCGCAGAGUUGCGAGACAGACCAGACAAAUUUCUUUCUCAUUUUUUCUCAAAGGUUGCAUCCCUUGAUAGUUAUAACUGGUGAGAGAUCUAUAUUUUUUUCUCUAAAUUUUCAUAGUGGAUUUCUUGAUGUGGUGUGACUUCGUGUUUUUUUCCCCUAUUUUAAGUGUUUUCAUGUUAAAUCCUUGUCAUUUACUUUCCGUUGUUUUUAAUUUCUUGCUUGUUUUGCUAUUGUGGUGUUUACUCAUCCCCAACACUAAUCAUAUAAUGAAGAAAUUACUAAUUAUUAUUUAACUAGUUCCUGCAACUAUGGGAAUCCGGCUAGGCUGAAAUUGCAGCUGGGCAAUUCGGUUUGAGCUGUAAAAGUGCAUUUGGGUUGCUCGAUAGCCUCUUUUUGUGGAUUUUGUUUUGUAUUAAUGGGUUAUUUGGUUGAAAGUAAAAUGAGUGUAAUGCAAAAUGAAUGCAGAUAUUUUAACUUUUUAGAUGUUUGCUUUGACACAAACGUAUUCUAAAAUCACUUGGUUAAGUAAAAAUACUCCAUUCAAGAGAAAAAGAAAUUCGCGAGCGCGGGCAAGAGAAAAAAGUCCAUUUCACGAUAGCAUUUCUUUCUCAAUUGUCACGAGAACCAUCGUGGUUUCUUCUCCAUUGUUGCAGAAACCAUCGUCGUUUCUUCCUCCAAGUUGAGAGCUUCGAUCAGAUAGCUUUUGAGCUUCUCUAUUUCGUCGUGGCUAUUAGACUUUUGUUGCUUCGCAUCAUGUAGAGUUUUGUUCGAGCCACUUCAUGGGCUCCUUGCUAUUUUGACUUCUCCCCUUUGACGACGUUUCCUUCCUGUCAGAUCGGAAGUCACCGAAGCAACUAUAGGAGCUCGCUCAUUGUGAAGGAAUUUGUCUUUCCCCCUUUUGCGUGCUUCUUUAGCCAAAUCCUGUCAAUCCGAGAAAUUUCAGGAUUUUUAGGGAUUUACGGCCCAAAGGGGAGACAGAGGAUUUAUCAUGUCGUUGGGUUUAGCGGGUGCUCAAAUCUCGUUAUUUCCUUAAGAUUUUUUGUUAAUUAUGUAGAACGAAGAAUCCCAGGAAGAGAAGCAGCUACUGCUCCCUUUCUCUCUGAGCAAUUAAGCUUUUAGACUUGGUUACGUUGCUUUCGUAAAGGCUAUGUCCGGAUGCCAGCAAAUUAUGUGUUUGUGUGGUAAGAAAUGAAGUUUACAUUAUCU